AGAUCAGAGGGCCUUCAGAGUACAACUGUAACACAAGUGGGAGGCCGCCACCUGGGUCUCCGCCUGCCGGCUCACCCUCAGAUUUGGGACCUGCCAGCCGCCAUGAUCACAACCUGCAGUCACCUGUAUCCAACGGCAUCUGGUGAAGGCAGGAGUCCUGCCUCUGUCCCACGUUAUAAAGGACUGUGCAGUGCGCCUGCAACAGAUGCCCCACAUGGGUUUAUUGAAAGAAGGAAAAGCAAAUGAGAAAAUCUAUCAUCAUUUCAUCUGCUACCAGAAGGACUAGGUGUGAUUCAUCAUUCCACAGCAAGAAAGGGAUCGUUUGCUCCAGCCGUCUUCACCGACGUUGCCCAGCAGUGGGGGCUUCAGUCUGUUUCCGUGGAGCAGACUAGGCUUUUGGUUAGGGUGCUGCAGCUCUAUUUAGCACGUUAGGCUAUCAGCUAUCUGUAAGCAAUCCACAUGCAUUAUCUUUCCCAUCGUUCAUAAUUAAACUCCUCACCACGGAAACUGUAGCACAGAGUCUCUGAUCUUGCAUCCCGAUUCCAAGUAUUUCUACCCCUGUGGAAAUGCCUGUAACGACUCAGUCCAGAUUUCUAAUAGCAGAGGGAUAGCUGCUGUUAUUGGGGACUGACUGCACGUUAGCAUUAGGUUUGAUCUUCACCUGAGCCACUCUUAUUCCUCAUGGCCCUCUGAUUCUCUGUCGAAGUGCAUGGCUACAAAGGAUACCAGUCAGAGCGCAGCCUGAGAAUCAGAACCACGAGGAGCGAUGUGAAAUAAGGGAUUGCUUACAGGAACUUGGUCUUAUGCCCUUGGGGC
This is a long non-coding RNA of Manis javanica (Malayan pangolin), 816 nucleotides long. RefSeq lists it as uncharacterized. The record is from RefSeq and is a predicted model, not a curated record. NCBI's taxonomy places the organism in Eukaryota, Metazoa, Chordata, Mammalia, Pholidota, Manidae.